CUUUUUAUUCAUUUUCUGCUAUAUCUACUUAUAAAAUUAACUUUCAGUCGUUGAGUUAAUGAAAAAUGUCAUUGGACAUUUUUCUUAUUCCAGCUUAAUAUGCAGCCACCGAGUCAAAUGAAAUUUGGCAAAAUAACGGCUUUAACGCCACAAAGAACCGACACAUGUCGUUGUUCCUGCCAAGUUUCAGGAAGAUCAGAGAAUAAGAAAUAGGUUCACUGUACAUAAGAGUUAAAACAGUUUUUCAUAAAUGUAACGUUGGACAUCCGUUUUUUCCACAUAGCUUUGUUAUUUUAAUCCUCAAAUAUACUAGAUAUUACUUAG
Molecule: long non-coding RNA, 324 nt
Filed under: Mytilus galloprovincialis (Mediterranean mussel)
Lineage: Eukaryota; Metazoa; Mollusca; Bivalvia; Mytilida; Mytilidae
Source: RNAcentral